Penaeus vannamei (Pacific white shrimp) is the source of this 1256-nucleotide non-coding RNA. NCBI's taxonomy places the organism in Eukaryota, Metazoa, Arthropoda, Malacostraca, Decapoda, Penaeidae. The record is from RefSeq and is a predicted model, not a curated record.
UUUAUAGAAAAUGGUACUAAUUUUAUUUCAUUUUUUGCUGCUGGCAUUUUUUAUUUGAAAUAUCUUUGUAUGUGGACUAUGUUAUGUGAAACAUGCGUUUAUAUAGGCUGAUGUACAACUGAAUGAAUGGAUAAUUGUUAUUAUGAGUCGGAUGUCCUGUUUUUCUAGUGAAAGAAGUCGAAAUAUGUGAUAUGGCCUAGACGUUGCCGCGUUUUCCCGCCAAAUUUACCUUAGCAACAAGUAGCCCCGCCCCUUGCAGCAUCUAUAAUUAAUGAAAGAGUAUGAUUAUACCAGAAGGUUGAGUUUGAGACAAUCACUGAUAUGAAGAUAUACAUUGACAAUAAGAAUGAAAUUUAAAUAUGCAUUGACUAAUUCUUGAUAAUAGCUCAUUUGCACAAGUGUUUCCAUCCUUGAAGUUGAUUGGCUCACGCACGAGCAGCGCUUUGUUCUGAUUGGUCCACGUGUACUCUGCAUUAUGAUUGGCUGCGAAAGCCUGUGUUAGGCGCCAUUACCACUUGGAGGAGGGUUUUUGUUGACGGACACGCUCAUAGAAAUUGCAUUUGUGCAGUGACAUUCUUAUUAACGCCAGUAUUUCUGGGAAGAGCUGGCAGUUAAAGUGUUAAAGAACUUUUGAAGUCAUAGUGAUAACCCCAAAGACUUCAGUGUAGUCUGGGAAAGAACACUGGAGUUGGGCUUGUCACCUUGCAGAGUGAUUUCUACCUUCACAUGGUCUUCGCAUUGAUGCAAGGGUGCAGGCUGGCUACCUGUCAUGAGAUGGUGUACCUGUCGUGACGUAACGUGCCUGUGGUGAUGAGGUGGUAAUGUGAAGCGUCAGUGCUACCUGCUUUGGGAUACGAUGUAAAUAUUUUUAUGUUAUGUGUGAUGAAUUUGCUACUUGUCUAUCAUUUUUAAGUGCUUAUACAUUCAUUUAUAUAUACGGUAGAUAUGCAAGUUUAGACUAAUAAAUAUUCCUUUUUGUGUGUGUGUGUGUGUGUGUAAUGAAUGUUCAUUGAGUCGGGCUGUAUAUCUACAGAUAGUUCCGAUUAAUUUCAUAUAUUUAUGUUAAUAGGUUUCCAGUCUUUUGAAAUAAGAAAAGUAAAGCAUUACACAUCUUUAAUUCAUGUAUCAAGAAAGCCCAGACUUAAAUAACUGUGGUACUUUGUUCAAUGACCUGUAUUUCAGUACAUGGUUACCAAUGUUUUAUUUGUUUGCAGCUCGAAUGUCUCCAGGAAAGGAUUAAACCGUGUGCAAGAAUC